CGUACACUCCUGCGGGAGGCAGCAGUGGGGAAUAUUGGACAAUGGGCGCAAGCCUGAUCCAGCCAUGCCGCGUGAGUGAUGAAGGCCCUAGGGUUGUAAAGCUCUUUCACCGGUGAAGAUAAUGACGGUAACCGGAGAAGAAGCCCCGGCUAACUUCGUGCCAGCAGCCGCGGUAAUACGAAGGGGGCUAGCGUUGUUCGGAUUUACUGGGCGUAAAGCGCACGUAGGCGGACUAUUAAGUCAGGGGUGAAAUCCCGGGGCUCAACCCCGGAACUGCCUUUGAUACUGGUAGUCUUGAGUUCGAGAGAGGUGAGUGGAAUUCCGAGUGUAGAGGUGAAAUUCGUAGAUAUUCGGAGGAACACCAGUGGCGAAGGCGGCUCACUGGCUCGAUACUGACGCUGAGGUGCGAAAGCGUGGGGAGCAAACAGGAUUAGAAACCCUAGUAGUCCCAUGAU
Molecule: ribosomal RNA, 455 nt
Filed under: uncultured organism
Description: partial 16S ribosomal RNA
Rfam family: Bacterial small subunit ribosomal RNA
Source: RNAcentral